Molecule: long non-coding RNA, 563 nt
Filed under: Podarcis muralis (Common wall lizard)
Lineage: Eukaryota; Metazoa; Chordata; Lepidosauria; Squamata; Lacertidae
Description: lncRNA (ENSPMRG00000001545.1)
Source: RNAcentral
AACUUGAAUUGUUUUAUCCUAUAUCCAAAGAGAUGAUCUUUGUUUUCCAGAGAGAGAGAGAGAGAGAGAGAGAGAGAGAGAGAGAGAGAGAGAGAGAAAAGACCAGACCAUAUCAAGAAGAUAAAAUAUCCUCAUGCUCUGUAAAACUAAUUAGGUUUCUUUGAAGUUACCUUGAAAGGGCUUUGUUCUGGCAAGGUGAUAAUAACAUUCUGGAAAUGCCUCCUUAGAAGCCAGCAAAUAAAAGGAAGGCGGAUGAAGAAAAGACUCAAACCUUGCAAGGCCUUUGGGGGGCUUUGGGGGACAUAUGGACGAUAGGACACCAAGCAGUGCACUCUGUGGAGGCUUUUCCAACCCAAGUGAUGCUCCCUGGACUUGUGCCAAUUGUGGUCAUAUCCCUAUUCAGCACUCAUGCCAAUCUGGCCCAUGCAGAAAACGACAGCAAACAUGAAAGGCCAUUGGUGAAAGAGGCCCUGGCACGGGCAAGGCAGCUGGUCUCCUUGGCGUAUCAUCGCUCUAGAAGCAGGUAUGAAUUUCCAGGUGAUGCAGGUGGCAGAGAGCAUCUU